RNAcentral lists this long non-coding RNA (1248 nucleotides) under Mustela putorius furo (domestic ferret). RNAcentral describes it as "lncRNA (ENSMPUG00000030697.1)". The record is from RNAcentral. Lineage: Eukaryota; Metazoa; Chordata; Mammalia; Carnivora; Mustelidae.
UGGAACUCUUCGUUGAAAUAUCUUUCAUCUCUUUAUUCCUCUCCUCUUCCUAUUGCUGUUCUCCACUCCUUUCCUCUCUCUCAGCCGCAAGGACUUGCCCUCUGCGCGAGUGGGGGUGGGGGCAAGCUGGGGAUGGCCGCAGAGCGGGGAGCGGGAGCCGGAGACCGCCGGAUCUGGCUUUGUUAUUGGUCGGCUGCUGCCUGAUGGAUGGACGAGGGAGGAGUGAACUCUUCAGUCUGUUCCGACGGAGCUGAAGUACAGAAACCAUCUUUACAGGUUGGGCUAGCCACAGAAAAUCAAUAUCUGUCAUCAGUCAUUAUCCAGUGUUUCAAAAUUCAAUGUUUAUGCACCACACCCAGUGCUCCCAGUCCUCCGUGUUAUUCCUUAUGCUCCACAACUAUAAUGCAAGAUUCUGCAAUACGUAAUAAAACAUACCAAUGGAGGAGGUAGAUGUGAACGGUUUUGAGGAGAGCACGGUAGUGCUCAUUUUACCACAUUCUACCACUAUACCACAGCCGUUAGCCCCGCUUCACAGGUGAGAAAACGUCGGCUCAGAGAAAUUAAGUGACUAGCUGAAAAACUCCUAUUUACAAAAUGGUGAAACCAAAUUUUUAAGCAACUGGCUUCCGUCUUUUCAUCAUCCAUGAUUCCUAAUGGUUCCUGGGACUCUCUUUUUUAAGAUAGCUUUUGGAAAUGUUAACGAUUAGCCUCGUUUAAAUCUUCUGCAGUAAGUAUCACUGCUUUACUGUACCUGAAGGCAAAUUAGUGGUGACAGUAGCAACACUGAUUGCUUUUUUCUCCUAAGCUUUUUCCAGUGCUGGCCUCUCAGAUAUUCAAUUUCAAAGUAACAGAUGUGUUUUUAAUUGGAGAUCAAGAUUAUCACCACAAAUUCAGAUUAAAGAAAUUCUUCCCAGUUCCCUAUUAACCCAACGAAUGGCUCCAUAAUCUUUGGAACUAGCAUUUCUCCAGACUCUACAGCCCAUGGUAGUUUCUACUACCUCUUGCUCUCUGCAGUUAAAUCCUUGAUAAGAAUCAAUGCCGAUCUCUCAAGUCACUUAAUUGUCCAUUUCUCUUUUGGGGAUUGCCUUCUAUCCUUCUCAGACUCUUGUCCUUUGCCCUACUUUCCCUCCAUAUUCCCAGGACCUUCCAUUCAUUUUUUUCACCUUUAUUAUGUCUCAAUCUCUAGCCCCAGCAACCUACUCCACUCUUGUUCUAGUAUUUGUCAAUUAACCUCACUAAUCAACCCAA